AAAGUUUUUCGACUUCGCUAGUUUUUCUUUCUGUGAUAAAAAAAUCGUAGCUUAGCUUUUAUGUUUUUUUCAUUGAACUUGUGAUGUGGCCUUAUAAACUAUAAACCAUUUUGUCUGCAUAUUAUUUUAGAAUGUGUAUAGAGUGCGGUGUAACUGAAGUGGUUUUGUAUUUUUAUGUGCGGUUAAUGCAUUAGUGUCAUUGUGAGAUCACGAUGCGUAUCGGUUUCGUGUUAUAUUGGUGCGUAUUUGCUUUUCAUCUGUGUAAAGCGGAUGAUGUGGAGAGGACAGAGACCAGGGAUAGUGGCAGAAGGCAGCAGUGGGGCCCCGUGGUGCGCAGCGGGUCGUUUAUGAGCGACUCCGCGGUCGCAGCAUCAAACGAACAGAUUCUGUUCGAGGCUUGCCACAAUGAGCCCGCGUGCCUGCAGGAUCGUGCCGGCCUCGAAGCCAUCACGCAGCUGCACAGGCAGCUCGAUGAUGAUGCCAACGGAAACGUAGACCUUAGCGAGAGUGAUGAUUUCCUCCGUGAGGAGUUGCAGUACGACAGCGGGUACGAGAAGCGUCAGCGUGCCUUCCACCACAAUGAUGAUAUGCACAUCUCUGUUAAGGAGCUUUGGGAAGCUUGGCUACGAUCUGAGGUGCACAACUGGACAGUAGAACAGACUGUGGAAUGGCUGUCGCAGUCCGUAGACCUGCCUCAAUACAAGACCUUGUUUCUGCAGCACAAAGUCACUGGAGCUACCUUGCCUAGAUUGGCAGUAAACAACAUGCAGUAUCUUAGCAACGUGUUGGGCAUCAAAGACCCUAUCCACAAACAGAAGUUGGCACUCAAAGCAAUGGAUGUCGUCCUCUUCGGACCCCCUAAAGAAGGCAGUAGAUGGAAGGACUGGCUCCUCGCAUCCCUGCUCCUGCUGGCGGUCGUGGGCGGAUGGGCGGCCCUGCGCGCCGGUCGCGCCAGCCGUCACCAAGUCCAGCGAAUGCUGCGGGAUAUGGAACAGCUUCGGAAGGCGGAGAUGGCACUCAACGAUAUGCAGAAGGAAUUAGAGAAAGCACGUUUGGAACAGGAGAACGUGACGACAGAAAAGAAGAAUUUGGAGAAGAAGCUAAGAGAGGCAGGUGACACGCCGCUACUGAACUCUGCAUCAUCAGACCUUGAAGUCACACAGCUCAAAGCUGAGAUUGAGAUGUUACGAGCAGAGCUCCGUCGCGCGGAGGGCGAGUUGGAAGACAGAUGCUGGGCACCCCCGCCCGGCUUACAACAAUGGUUGCAACUGACACAUGAAGUGGAAAACAGAUCGUAUUUACGCAAGAAACAGCAGGCAGACUUGCAGUUACAGCAGGCGAGAGAAGCAUGCGAGAAGCUCCGCAAGAAGCGGUCUAGUCUGGUGGGCGCGUUUGUGUCGACGCACGGCAAGUCCAUCGACGACGUCGACCGCUCCAUCGUCGAGGCCAGGACUGCGCUCAACGAAGUCACCCAGGAGUUACAGGAACGCAUGCAUAGAUGGAAACAGAUUGAACGUUUAUGCGGCUUCAAUAUCAUCAAUAACAAUGGUCUUCAGUACCUAGAGACUGCACUCUAUAGGAAUGCUAAUGGCCGACCAACGGGACGAGGUCGCAUCAGCAGUUCUCAGGAUGACCUGAGUAUCGGCGACGAUGCGUCCAUAUGCGGCUCAGUGGCUGAUAACUUCAUAUGGCGGGAAGAUUCCUCGGGCAGCGAAGCGGACGCCCCACACUACCCCCUAGACCUUAGACUCGCUGAGGCUAGAUUACAACUGGAGGAGCGUUUAGCGCAAGAGGCGCGGGAACGCAGGCAGGACGACCGACGCGGCGCCAGGGCCUCGUACUCCGACCUGCGCAGCACUGCCGACGACAGGGCCAAGGAACAAGUCCACUUUAUAUUAGGAGGGGAUAACGUGAACUGGACCGGCGAGGAGAGCCCCCGCGCGACGGAGUUUCCCCGCGCGGUGACGUCACUGUCGCAGCCGCAGCUGCGCGCGUCGCUGCGCGGGGCGGGUGGGGCGGGCGCCCCGCUGGGCGGUGGGGCGGGCGCCCCGCUGCCGCCGCCCCGCCGCGCCGCGCCGCCCGCCAUGGCGCGCUCGCGCAGCUCGGACGUGGUGGCGCUGGCGAGCGACGACCCCCGCCCGCCUCCCAGGAACGCUUUCACUAAGCAGAAGACUCUUGCUGAAGACACCCCAACCCCUUCAAGCAACACACCUCCCGAGGAAGAGUCAACAGACUCGUCACUAAUGGACGACGAAGGCCUCCCGAAGCUUCGCAAGCGUCGCAUCCACCUCCCAUUCGGUAAGAAAGCGAAGACCCCCGCGUGACCCCCACGAGACCCCCUAACGGACAACACUAGCCACGGCUGAACGAAGCGUCUCAAUAUCUAGGCCCGGUUUCAUUCGUUACCGAUAAAAUGUCAGUUAGAAAUGACUAGCGGAGAUGUCAUAACGCAUAAUCUCCUAAGAAAGUAGCGCGCCAAAAUGCGGGUGUUCGGGGGACGAGAAACGUUACCAGCUCCACGCUUACAAACCUUCUUUGGCACCUACCAUGAUAUUCAAAAUAAAAUCACCAGUCAAUAAAGACCAGUCUUUGAAAGUUUCGUUUUCACUAGACAACGCACCCGAAUAUCUCGUUAGUUCCAGUAACUGAUAACGGCUACUGUACGUUACUUGACCUAAAAGAAGGCCUACUAUCCUUAUGGUAUCUCCGCUCCUCUUUUCUACCUCUGUGGUUAUCUGAUAGUUAAUGAUAUCACCCAGAUAACGCCUGCUUAUAAUUUCUGCCAGAUGUAAGCUAUUCAAGACCUGUGAAACUAAAGUUAUAUCUGUCAGAUAAGUUCCUUAUAGUAUCAGAGACUUUAUCAAUAACCGUUGAAACUGGCCAUUAGUACAACAAAUGUACAAGGUAAGGUAUAUAAUCUGAUGUCUCUUAAGCAAGGAAAAUGUAAGGGAACGAAACAAACCUUCAUUGAAGUUUCUACAUGUACUAAUAGAAAAAGAGUGUAAAAAUGGUAACUAUUUUGGCAAUAAAUUACAAUAUAAGUUGGGCUUCCCAUAAAAUUAUUAGGAAAAAGACAGCUCCAUAUUGUGGCAACAUUACAUACUUUAUAACAUAGACAACAGAAUAAAAUGUCAUAAACUGCAAUUUUUUAAAUGUUGACACAAUAUGAACUUAUUGUAUGGCAUAGGAAACUAAUUUAUUAUUCGGCCUAAUGAAAAGUAACUUUAGUACGAAGUCAAUUGUAAAGCCAAAAACGUGGAAAAGGCCAGUAAGAUGAAAUAAUAUAAUAAUUACCUCAUAAUGUCAAUUACAGUCACCAUCACAGAUAUGCUAUCCCUUAGAUAAUGCAAGUUUUAAACAAAUGUCAACUAAAAUCGAAAAGGAUUUUUCCUUUAUUUUUCCACUGAUGACAGCUCAAUAAAAAAUAACAAUUGUAUCAGACUUGUCUAAAUCAUUUGCUACUCAGGCGAUCUAUCUCGUUCUAUAAGAAAUCACUUAGAAAAAUCAGUUUUAAGUAUAAGUACCUUCAAACAUGAAAUAACUACAGCAUUAUCUAAGUCCGGCCUAAUCUGUGGUGUUUAUUUGAGUAAAAUGGUGUGACAGCGCGCUUCGUCCCAGCUGUGAAUGAAACCUCGGUUGUAAUUCAGUUUGAUUUUCCCCCUAAAAUAUUAAUUUGCACGUUUGCCAGUGUGACUACACGUUUAGUAGUAGUUUUUAUUCGCACAUAAAUUUUGUAUCUAUAUAUGUAUGUACUUAAAAUUAAUUAUCAACCCUUUGGUAGACUAUCAGAUUGAAUUGUAGUAAUUAUGUUUAUUUUAAUGUAAUUCAGAAACUACUGAUAAUUUUACGUGUCAAUUUUCAAUAGAUUUUAUAUUUCUUUGCAAAAGUGUUGCCAACAAUUAAUACCAGUAUUUUCAGUAUUGCCCAACUCUAUAGAAAGAGAUUAUUUCAUUAAAAAUGGCCUGAUAUUACAUGAAAUCUGUAAUUUUGCGUGUUUGUACAAUAAACUAUGCCUAUAAUGUAAGUUAGUAAAUAUUGAUAAUAUGAUAUAUAUCUAAAUUAUUCAUCAUAAUAGUAAAGAGGUAUGAAAGACAUUAAUUUCGUAUGUUAAUUUUCGACUGCGCACUUUUCAUAUAUAUGUCGCCGGAAAAUAACAAGAUCCGUAAGUUUAUAAAUUUACUAGGAAGUUUAUAAACUUUCGUAAGAUUCUAAACGGGAGAUAAAUUUAUCAAUUUCCGACGUCAUACGGUAAAUUUAUAAACUAACGAUUAUCUAUUCGUAAGAUUUUAUAUGGUUCGACCAAUCACAGAAACUCUUUUAAAUAUACGAUCUUUGAAAUACGGAAAAUAACACACUGCUCUCUGAUUGGUCUAUGUUCAUAGUGGCAAUGCUUGUCUCCAUAGGGCGGCCGCGAGGAAGGAGAAGUGACACGUGACAGCCAACCAAUCAGAUCGCGCGUAGCGUUUGGUUACUGCUUACUUAUUAUUUUACGAGUGAGUUCAGUAAGUUUAUAAAUUUACGAAAAUGUGGACGUAAAAUAUUACAAUUUAUCUCCCGUUUAGAAUCUUACGAAAGUUUAUAAACGUCCUAGUAAAUUUAUAAACUUACGGAUCUUGUUAUUUUCCCGUGACAUAUACACUAAUGAUUAGUUUUUUUUUCUCUAUAAUCAUAUUUACAAGUAUAUUGUGUAAAGACAGUUUAAUAUUUUGUCCAAUUUUGGAAUGUUGUCUUCUGCAAUCAUUUUCUUCCAUCAAAUCUCCAAUCCUGUUUUUUUUUAACGAUUUACGAAUACAGGUUGUAAAUAACCAAUUAUUUUAUUUUUGUUAUUACGAAGUCAGGCUGGGAGCCCGAAUUUUGUGCAAACAUAUUCUACUUAUUUUUUAAAGAUCAUUGUGUUACAAUAUAAUUUCACUUUAUUUUUAUAUUGUUUUCGUAUUAAAUUGUUUAUUUUUAAACUGAUGACUGCCUAAUGUGUGUUUCUUUGCUUUUUGAUCCUUUGUUGUGAAUUAGAACUUUUACAAUAUUACCAGUGUCAUGAUCAUGUCUUCCACAUACAUUGUAUAAUGCACAUUUACAUAUACAAGUUAGUUAUAUGUUCGUUUUAUCUGAAUUGACUUGGCCUGUCGACUAGUGAAAUGAGCGCUCAGUUAUGUUGUGAUUAUUAUAGUGUUGCGGCGUUUCGGAAAAUAACUAGUUUUUAUUUAUUUAUUAACAAUUGUCAUAGCUAGUGGGAAGAUAUACGUAAUUUAUGCAGAAUUUCUUAAUUCUCUUCGUUGUUUUAACCUAAAAACUGUCAAAAUUUCCCGAAACGCCGCGUUUGUAAAUCAUUUGCUAGAAUAAAAUAACUAAUCGCAGUAUAAGUUACUAUAUUAACACGAGUUUACCAUAUCGCAUCAUUCCCUUUUUUUGCGUAAUUAUGAUACGAUAUUAUCGACCUUUAGCUAUAUGUAUAGAGUUAUUUGUAAGGCAACUUGGUGCUAAAUGAAAGUUCUCAGACUGAUCACCGCAUGGCUCAAAUUUUUGUAUGAAUUUUUAAUAUUCUGUUCGUUUCUAUGUGGUUUUGUACUAAAUCGUUAACGUGUUUAGCUCCUGGCCUUAAAGUAAAUUGGCGUAAAUUGUCUUAGAGCCUUAUGUUAGUUUAAUGUUCUCACACGUGUAACAGCAAUUUAGAUGACGCAACCUUGCCUAUAGGAAAUACAGUCUCAUGUAUGGUUACGCCCACAAUGCAGUAUCAUGAAGAUCAGUAAUUGCCUAUCUAAGACAUAAAAAUCGUAUUUCUAAGACAUAAAAAUAGUUGUAACUUUUACUGUAAAUCUAUAAUACGCUCCAUUUUACGCCAAUAACAGUCAACAAAACAGUAUCAUAGUUCAACUAAGGCUAUACGUAAAUAUUGUAGUGUGAUUUCCCAGUUGUCUCCGUAGUGAAAUGUUAAGAAAUUCGUACUUAAUGAAAUUAAUUGUGUAAUGCAGAUGUUGAGUACAAAAGUUGAGUAAUUAACAAGUGGUUACAGAAACGCCUAGUUACACUUGUUUUCGGCAUGAAUUUUAGACAUAUUUUUAAUUAUUUAGUUAAUUUUCAAGAUUGUUUUAUGGCUUUGAACUUUAUGACGAAGGAAUAUCUGUUUAGAUAAUGCGUAAUGAUUAUAUCUGCCCAUAGGUUUUCUUUAGGUCACAAACUUGCCUUACAUAAAGUUGGAAGCCAUAAAAUGGAUGAGAUUUUUCACGAAAUGUAUAUUUUGUAGACCCCAGAUCUGAUCGCGUUGUAAAGACAAAUCGUGAUAAAUAAAUUGUUACAAUCAUUGAAAGUUAAUAAAUUGAUAUUACAAA
Molecule: unclassified non-coding RNA, 6326 nt
Filed under: Helicoverpa zea (corn earworm)
Lineage: Eukaryota; Metazoa; Arthropoda; Insecta; Lepidoptera; Noctuidae
Description: stromal interaction molecule homolog, transcript variant X1
Source: RNAcentral